RNAcentral lists this transfer RNA (76 nucleotides) under Gammaproteobacteria bacterium. Its description in RNAcentral is "tRNA-His". It matches the Rfam family "tRNA". From Rfam's summary of the family: Transfer RNA (tRNA) molecules are approximately 80 nucleotides in length. Their secondary structure includes four short double-helical elements and three loops (D, anti-codon, and T loops). The record is from RNAcentral. Lineage: Bacteria; Pseudomonadati; Pseudomonadota; Gammaproteobacteria. RNAcentral also lists the same sequence under 1 other name.
GUGGCUUUAGCUCAGAUGGCAGAGCUCUGGAUUGUGAUUCCAGCGGUCACGGGUUCGAGCCCCGUAAGCCACCCCA